Molecule: ribosomal RNA, 252 nt
Filed under: uncultured bacterium
Lineage: Bacteria
Description: partial 16S ribosomal RNA
Rfam family: Bacterial small subunit ribosomal RNA
Source: RNAcentral
ACGGAGGGUGCAAACGUUGUUCGGAAUUAUUGGGCGUAAAGCGCGCGUAGGCGGCCCAGAAGGUCGGAUGUGAAAUCCCCGGGCUCAACCUGGGAAUUGCGUUCGAAACCGUUGGGCUUGAGUUCUGGAGGGAGAGGUAGAAUUCCUGGUGUAGGGGUGAAAUCCGUAGAGAUCAGGAGGAAUACCGGUGGCGAAGGCGACCUCUUGGCCAUGGACUGACGCUGAGGUGCGAAAGCGUGGGUAGCAAACAGG